Molecule: ribosomal RNA, 1811 nt
Filed under: Ceratomyxa sp. LFR-2016
Lineage: Eukaryota; Metazoa; Cnidaria; Myxozoa; Bivalvulida; Ceratomyxidae
Description: bacterial SSU rRNA
Rfam family: Eukaryotic small subunit ribosomal RNA
Source: RNAcentral
UUCUGGUUGAUCCUGCCAGUGGUCAUAUGCUCGUCUCAAAGACUAAGCCAUGCAUGUCCAAGUUCAUAACUCUACAAGUUGAAACUGCGAAGCGCUCAGUAAAUCAGUUAUAGUCUGUUCGAUCGUUCUUUGCCCAUGGAUAACUGUGGCAAAUCUAUAGCUAAUACAUGUAAAAACAGCCAGCUUGCUGGCUGUACAUUUAUCGGCCAACCGACACCACUGGGCAGCAAUGCCCGGUAGCAGGUGAAUCUAGAUAACUGUGGUUACCGCAUAGCUCCGGCUGGCGGUAGUUCGAUCGAAUUUCUGCCCCAUAAACUAGGUGGUAAGGUAGUGGCUUACCAAGGUGGUGACGGGUAACGGGGAAUCAGGGUUCGAUUCCGGAGAGGGAGCCUGAGAAACGGCUACCACAUCCAAGGAUGGCAGCAGGCGCGCAAAUUACCCAAUCCAGACAUUGGGAGGUAGUGACGAGAAAUACUGGGGGCGCUCCAAGUGAGUGCCAUCCGGAAUGAACGUAACACAAAAAAUUCGAUGAGGAUCUACUGGAGGGCAAGUCUGGUGCCAGCAGCCGCGGUAAUUCCAGCUCCAGUAGUGUAUAUCAACAUUGUUGUGCUUAAAACGCUCGUAGUUGGAUUACAGAGCUCCAAACAGGGCAGCCCACUUGUUGGGCUGUGUUGGUCGCACCGUGCUCGAGCUAGGAAUCUAGACGGGUUGGUGUGGCGGAGCUCUUUUGUCGCACUGGUUCUGGUCGGUGUCUUUACUGACGCUGACCAAUAGCCGGUGGAGUGUGCCUUGAAUAAAGCAUAGUGCUCAAAGCAGGCGAACGCUCGUAUGUAAUAGCAUGGAACGAAUAUUUUGACCGGGGUCGACCGCUGUAUGCGUUUUGCGUGUGCGGGUCGGCGUCGGGCUCAACUAGUGUUGGUUGGAGCCGCGGUCUCAACGGUUAACAGGGACACCUGAGGGCACUAGUACUUUGUGGCGAGAGGUGAAAUUCUUAGACCCACAAAAGACUGACUACUGCGAAAGCAUUUGCCAAGAGUGUUUUCAUUAAUCAAGAACGAAGGUCAGAGGAUCGAAGACGAUCAGAUACCGUCCUAGUUUUGACAGCAAACUAUGCCAGCAUAGGGUUGGAGCGGUCGCUGCUUACGGCAGUCGAAUCACUGCAGGCCUUAAGGGAAACCUAGCUUUCGGGCUGCUGGGAGAAUAUCGCUGCAAGGCUGAAAUUUAAAGAAAUUGACGGAGAGGCACCACCAGGAGUGGAGCCUGCGGCUUAAUUUGACUCAACACGGGGAAACUCACCAGGUCCAGACAUUGGUAGGAUUGACAGACUGGUAGAUCUUUCAUGAUUCAGUGAAUGGUGGUGCAUGGCCGUUCUUAGUUGGUGGAGUGAUCUGUCAGGUCUAUUCCGGUAACGAGCGAGACCACGGCCUUUAGUUGUUGGCGUGUUCACUAGCUGGACACUGCCUCUCUAGAGGGACUAUUGGUGUUUUAAACCAGGGGAAGCGUGGCAAUAACAGGUCUGUGAUGCCCUUCGAUGUCCUGGGCUGCACGCGCGCUACAAUGGCAGCAGUAGAGAGCGUUGACUAGCCAGAGAUGGCCGGUUAAACUGUAAAUAGCUGUCGUGAUAGGGAUUGAGCCUUGUAAUUAUUGCUCAUGAAAGAGGAAUUCCUCGUAAGCACGAGUCAUCAGCUCGUGUUGAAUACGUCUCUGCCUCUUGUACACACCGCCCGUCGCUACUACCGAUUGAAUUGCUUCUAAAGCUGGCUGGACCGGACUUGUGCACUUGUGCACGAGCUGGGAGGGCCGACGAUGGA